GGUCUUAUGGUGUAAUGGUUAGCACUCUGGACUCUGAAUCCAGCGAUCCGGGUUCAAAUUUCGGUAGGACCU
This 72-nucleotide transfer RNA is filed under the name Phytophthora infestans (potato late blight agent). RNAcentral describes it as "tRNA-Gln". It matches the Rfam family "tRNA". Rfam says of the family: Transfer RNA (tRNA) molecules are approximately 80 nucleotides in length. Their secondary structure includes four short double-helical elements and three loops (D, anti-codon, and T loops). The record is from RNAcentral. Lineage: Eukaryota; Oomycota; Peronosporomycetes; Peronosporales; Peronosporaceae.